UACAGAGGUCCUAAGCGUUGUUCGGAUUCACUGGGCGUAAAGGGUGCGUAGGCGGUCGGGUAAGUCUGAUGUGAAGUCUCACAGCUUAACUGUGAAACUGCAUUGGAUACUAUCCGGCUCGAGGAAUGGAGGGGAGACUGGAAUACUUGGUGUAGCAGUGAAAUGCGUAGAUAUCAAGUGGAACACCAGUGGCGAAGGCGAGUCUCUGGACAUUUCCUGACGCUGAGGCACGAAAGCCAGGGGAGCAAACGGG
RNAcentral lists this ribosomal RNA (253 nucleotides) under uncultured bacterium. RNAcentral's name for it is "partial 16S ribosomal RNA". It matches the Rfam family "Bacterial small subunit ribosomal RNA", at positions 524 to 776 of the family's 1533-position model. The record is from RNAcentral.